CUGCCUCCAGUAAGCUGCAUGCUCUCCACAUGCCCUUAAAGCCACCCUGCAGAAGAUCUACUGUAUGGUGUAGUGGCAAAAGAGAGUGACAGAGAAUAUACAAUUCAGAACCGGACAAGUAGUCACUGAACAGACAGAAGGGAAAGUGCAACAGUAAGAGCUGAGGCAUGAAGUAUACCUUACAGUUUAGAAAUAUGUGAGCAUCCAUUACCGCAACUGACCUGCAAAACUACCUUUAGUAUCACUACUGAAAUGCGAGGAAGCAGAAUUUCCAGGUCACAGAACAGACAGCACUAGUCAUUCAGAGGCUGUUCUUUGGGGGU
Long non-coding RNA from Prionailurus viverrinus (fishing cat), 323 nucleotides. RefSeq lists it as uncharacterized. The record is from RefSeq and is a predicted model, not a curated record. The transcript is spliced from 3 exons. NCBI's taxonomy places the organism in Eukaryota, Metazoa, Chordata, Mammalia, Carnivora, Felidae.